Molecule: ribosomal RNA, 640 nt
Filed under: uncultured Escherichia sp.
Lineage: Bacteria; Pseudomonadati; Pseudomonadota; Gammaproteobacteria; Enterobacterales; Enterobacteriaceae
Description: bacterial SSU rRNA
Rfam family: Bacterial small subunit ribosomal RNA
Source: RNAcentral
GAAGCAGCUUGCUGCUUCGCUGACGAGUGGCGGACGGGUGAGUAAUGUCUGGGAAACUGCCUGAUGGAGGGGGAUAACUACUGGAAACGGUAGCUAAUACCGCAUAACGUCGCAAGACCAAAGAGGGGGACCUUAGGGCCUCUUGCCAUCGGAUGUGCCCAGAUGGGAUUAGCUAGUAGGUGGGGUAACGGCUCACCUAGGCGACGAUCCCUAGCUGGUCUGAGAGGAUGACCAGCCACACUGGAACUGAGACACGGUCCAGACUCCUACGGGAGGCAGCAGUGGGGAAUAUUGCACAAUGGGCGCAAGCCUGAUGCAGCCAUGCCGCGUGUAUGAAGAAGGCCUUCGGGUUGUAAAGUACUUUCAGCGGGGAGGAAGGGAGUAAAGUUAAUACCUUUGCUCAUUGACGUUACCCGCAGAAGAAGCACCGGCUAACUCCGUGCCAGCAGCCGCGGUAAUACGGAGGGUGCAAGCGUUAAUCGGAAUUACUGGGCGUAAAGCGCACGCAGGCGGUUUGUUAAGUCAGAUGUGAAAUCCCCGGGCUCAACCUGGGAACUGCAUCUGAUACUGGCAAGCUUGAGUCUCGUGGAGGGGGGUAGAAUUCCAGGUGUAGCGGUGAAAUGCGUAGAGAUCUGGAGGA